RNAcentral lists this ribosomal RNA (377 nucleotides) under uncultured bacterium. Its description in RNAcentral is "bacterial SSU rRNA". It matches the Rfam family "Bacterial small subunit ribosomal RNA", at positions 521 to 896 of the family's 1533-position model. The record is from RNAcentral.
UAAUACGGGGGAUGCAAGCGUUAUCCGGAAUUAUUGGGCGUAAAGCGUCCGCAGGUGGUUGUGCAAGUCUGCUGUUAAAUCGUGGGGCUUAACUCCAUAACGGCGGUGGAAACUGCACAACUUGAGUUUGGUAGGGGUCACGGGAAUUCCCAGUGUAGCGGUGAAAUGCGUAGAUAUUGGGAAGAACACCAGCGGCGAAAGCGCGUGACUGGGCCAAAACUGACACUCAUGGACGAAAGCUAGGGGAGCGAAAGGGAUUAGAUACCCCUGUAGUCCUAGCCGUAAACGAUGGAUACUAGGUGUUGCCCGUAUCGACCCGGGCAGUGCCGUAGCUAACGCGUUAAGUAUCCCGCCUGGGGAGUACGCACGCAAGUGUG